Molecule: long non-coding RNA, 1071 nt
Organism: Peromyscus eremicus (cactus mouse)
Lineage: Eukaryota; Metazoa; Chordata; Mammalia; Rodentia; Cricetidae
Exons: 4
Source: RefSeq, a predicted model, not a curated record
AUUCUGAGAGGCUGGAUCACCUGGGCUACUUGUCUUUAUUGAUAUUUGAUCCCUUUUUUCUGAAAACAUAUAAACUUUUAAAGGAAGAUCUUUAUACACUUCAGUGGGUCUUUACAACUACAUUUGCAUCUACUGGAGUAAAGUUCUGGCCUGAAGGAUUUCUUUGAUUUCAGAUAUUCUCAAACUGAGUUACUCUUGGACAAUAUCUCCUGAGCCACUAGCAGCGACAACAGAUUGCACUUAGGUUUCUAACAGGUAGAAUUUUGUCUGGAGGUGUCAGUAGUGCUCAAGGAUCAAGCCUAGAACAUCCAUCAUGAUGACUGACCUUGCUUUCACCCUAGAGGAAAAGCUCUCGACAUGAUGGAGUUUUACAAAGAAACCAUUAGGAGCAGACACUGUGAAGUAGACUUGGAUGGAAGCCUUGCCAUUCUAUUCUCUGAAGCAGCUCAUUUCACUUUUGCUGAAGAACAAGUUUUGCAAAAUGAUGGAAAAGCAGUUAUCCAAGACCCACUAAGAUCCUGUUAACCAGACAUCUACAGAAAUGAGAUAAAAAAAAACAACAACAACAUCAUACUCCUAUACAAGAUGGGACUAGAACAUGCUUCAAGUUCAUGACUGAAAAAUCCCUAAAAGUCUACAUAACCAAUUUUCUGAUAGAAUUUAAGUUCCGCCUCACCAAAUGAAACCCAUGCCUGGCACCAUUAUCAAGCUAAAAGCCUAUGGCUACACAGUAAUGAUGUCUAGGGGAGAACCUACUACUAUGCUGCUAAAAGGACAUAGUAUAAAACUGACUGGUAAUGACUUAUUGUUAUUUCCAAAGAUCAAUGCAUCUCUCAUCCCUCACCUAACAAGCCACAUCUGUAGUAGGUGGUAAAUUAUACAAUAACCCAAAACUGAGCCAAGUACACAGAACAAGAGACUACAGGAUGCUCCAUCCUAAACAGAACACAUAUACCACAUGCCACCCCAAGGCUCGGGGACCAAUGGGUAAGAGGGGCAAAUGGAGAGUCAGAGCCCAAGGCAGUGGAUGUCUACAAGGAAAUAUUAUUAAAUAUUAUUGUGUGAACAUAA